RNAcentral lists this ribosomal RNA (253 nucleotides) under uncultured bacterium. Its description in RNAcentral is "partial 16S ribosomal RNA". It matches the Rfam family "Bacterial small subunit ribosomal RNA", at positions 524 to 776 of the family's 1533-position model. The record is from RNAcentral.
UACGUAGGGGGCAAGCGUUGUCCGGAUUCAUUGGGCGUAAAGAGCGUGUAGGCGGCCAGGUAGGUCGGUUGUGAAAACUGGAGGCUCAACCUUCAGAGGUCGAUCGAAACCAUCUGGCUAGAGUCCGGGAGAGGAGAGUGGAAUUCCUGGUGUAGCGGUGAAAUGCGCAGAUAUCAGGAAGAACACCGGUGGCGAAAGCGGCUCUCUGGACCGGUACUGACGCUGAGACGCGAAAGCGUGGGGAGCGAACAGG